This 435-nucleotide ribosomal RNA is filed under the name uncultured Roseburia sp. RNAcentral's name for it is "bacterial SSU rRNA". It matches the Rfam family "Bacterial small subunit ribosomal RNA", at positions 341 to 792 of the family's 1533-position model. The record is from RNAcentral. Lineage: Bacteria; Bacillati; Bacillota; Clostridia; Lachnospirales; Lachnospiraceae.
ACGGGAGGCAGCAGUGGGGAAUAUUGCACAAUGGGGGAAACCCUGAUGCAGCGACGCCGCGUGAGCGAAGAAGUAUCUCGGUAUGUAAAGCUCUAUCAGCAGGGAAGAAGAAUGACGGUACCUGACUAAGAAGCUCCGGCUAAAUACGUGCCAGCAGCCGCGGUAAUACGUAUGGAGCAAGCGUUAUCCGGAUUUACUGGGUGUAAAGGGAGUGUAGGCGGCAUGGCAAGUCUGAUGUGAAAAUCCGGGGCUUAACCCCGGACCUGCAUUGGAAACUGUCAGGCUGGAGUGUCGGAGAGGUAAGUGGAAUUCCUAGUGUAGCGGUGAAAUGCGUAGAUAUUAGGAGGAACACCAGUGGCGAAGGCGGCUUACUGGACGACAACUGACGCUGAGGCUCGAAAGCGUGGGGAGCAAACAGGAUUAGAUACCCUGGUA